This 27-nucleotide non-coding RNA is filed under the name Mus musculus (house mouse). Lineage: Eukaryota; Metazoa; Chordata; Mammalia; Rodentia; Muridae. The record is from RNAcentral.
UGAUUAUUCCUGGGGGAAUUCCAAUUU